RNAcentral lists this long non-coding RNA (216 nucleotides) under Elaeis guineensis (African oil palm). RNAcentral describes it as "long non-coding RNA (EGUI_LNC061467)". Lineage: Eukaryota; Viridiplantae; Streptophyta; Magnoliopsida; Arecales; Arecaceae. The record is from RNAcentral.
GCGGCAAACAGAGUGACAGGAGAUCAUAACAAAGGCGGUCCAAGUCCAGGAUGAGAGACUUGAAUAAGAUCAGAUGUUAUCGAUAUGAUGAGUUGGGGCAUCUAGCCAGAGAUUGCCCUCAAUUCAGAGAUCGAACGAGGGCUACUGCAGCGACAGCUAGUAGUGAGUUAGAGGAUAAUGUUCUAGAGAUAUCUGACAAGGUAUCUACUUCUUUCU